GGACUACCAGGGUAUCUAAUCCCGUUUGCUCCCCUGGCUUUCGCGCCUCAGCGUCAGAAGGUGUCCAGCACGUCGCUUUCGCCACCGGCGUUCCUUCCGAUAUCUACGCAUUUCACCGCUCCACCGGAAGUUCCACAUGCCCCUACACCACUCGAGGUCUCCAGUAUCAAAAGCACUUCUCCGGUUAAGCCGAAGUAUUUCACCCCUGACUUGAAGACCCGCCUACGCGCCCUUUAAGCCCAGUGAUUCCGAACAACGUUCGCACGGUUCGUCUUACCGCGGCUGCUGGCAC
This 292-nucleotide ribosomal RNA is filed under the name uncultured Planctomycetota bacterium. RNAcentral's name for it is "uncultured planctomycete partial 16S ribosomal RNA". The record is from RNAcentral. Lineage: Bacteria; Pseudomonadati; Planctomycetota.